CCAGACUGGCUGAGUUCCCCUUUCUGAAGGGAGCAAAUCUGAAGGUGAUGUUUACAGAACCCCAGCUUAGCUAAAGACAACUUCUUGUUACUCUAGUUUAGGGUUGGACAACCUGUUCUGCGACAAUUUCACAGAAGCCAUCCAGGCUUGCUUAACUUGUGCUUCAGAGUGAGGUCAGAGGGACAAAGGAAGGAGAAUGUACAAGGAGAGACAAAAGAGGAGGUAGAGAGAAAGGGUAGGACAGUUGCUGGGUUCUAUUAUGCCCAGAUCCUACUUCAGGAUGUGUUUGCCACAAGUGUGGGUCCAUUCAAACCCUGGGCUAGGUGAUGAAUCAUUCUUGCUAUGGCCUUCCCAGAAAUGGGUAAAGUAGUAGAAGGGUUAGAAAGUAACUUAAAUCAUGAUUGAGUGAUUUUGCCCUCCUGGGGAUUUCCGGUCAUGUGUGGAGAUAUUUUUGAUUGUCACAACCUGAACCAGUCCACUUUUUGUUACUAUAAUGAAAUACUUGGAACUUCAUAAAGAAAAGAGGUUUAUUGAGCUCACAGUUCUAGAGGUCCAAGGGCACAGUGUCAGCAUCCCCUCAGCUCUGGUGAGGAUCUCACAGUGGAGAAGGACAAAUCACAUGAGCAAGACAGAAAGCCACAGUGUGACACCAUGGACUCUGUGAGGAGCCACGGAAACCACAUUACUCCCUUCCUAGGCCACAACCUCAAUGACUUAAGGGCCUCCCACUAAGCUCCACCUCUUUAAAAAAAAUUUUUUUUAGUUGUUGAUGGACGUUUAUUUAAUUUAAUUUAUUUAUAUGUGGUGCUGAGAAUCAAACCCAGUGCCUCACAUAUGUGGGGCAAGUGCUCUAUCACUGAGCCACCACCCCAGCCCUAAACCCCACCUCUUAAUAUCACGCUAAGGAUCAAACAUCCAACACAUGAACCCUUUGGGUACACACUCAAACCAUAUCCAAACUACAGCACAAUGGGUUUUUUUGGAGGAGGGAUGGUGUUUCUGUCCUUUGAGGAGUUGAGGUCAGUGUGGCUGCUUAACAUCCUACAAUGAUCAGGACAGCCUACAACAGCAAAUUAUCUGUCCCCAGUUAUCAGUAGUACUGAGGUUAAGAGCCCUGGCCUUAUACCGGGCACGGUGGUGGUGGCACAC
Molecule: long non-coding RNA, 1149 nt
Filed under: Marmota monax (woodchuck)
Lineage: Eukaryota; Metazoa; Chordata; Mammalia; Rodentia; Sciuridae
Source: RNAcentral